ACACCAUGCUAGGGGUGCCUGCACAACAAGGCUGAGAACAAACUCUUAACACCUGAGUCUGGGUAAUACCAGCGGAGGGAAGCUGUAUAUUGAGGAU
This 97-nucleotide non-coding RNA is filed under the name 'Nostoc azollae' 0708. RNAcentral describes it as "Nostoc azollae TPP sequence". It matches the Rfam family "TPP riboswitch aptamer (THI element)". From Rfam's summary of the family: Vitamin B(1) in its active form thiamin pyrophosphate (TPP) is an essential coenzyme that is synthesised by coupling of pyrimidine and thiazole moieties in bacteria. Lineage: Bacteria; Bacillati; Cyanobacteriota; Cyanophyceae; Nostocales; Nostocaceae. The record is from Rfam by way of RNAcentral.